RNAcentral lists this ribosomal RNA (1098 nucleotides) under Meloidogyne arenaria. Its description in RNAcentral is "SSU rRNA". It matches the Rfam family "Eukaryotic small subunit ribosomal RNA", at positions 695 to 1823 of the family's 1831-position model. The record is from RNAcentral. Lineage: Eukaryota; Metazoa; Nematoda; Chromadorea; Rhabditida; Meloidogynidae.
UUUAUCGUAAUGUUCGGUUUUGAGUCCUUAACAGGAUUCUUAACAGGCAUUGCAAGUUUACUUUGAACAAAUCAGAGUGCUUCAAACAGGCGUUUUCGCUUGAAUGAUCGUGCAUGGAAUAAUAGAAAACGAUUUCGGUUCAGUUUUAUUGGUUUUACGGACUGAGAUAAUGGUUAACAGAGACAAACGGGGCAUUUGUAUGGCCCCGUGAGAGGUGAAAUUCUUGGACCGUGGCCAGACAAACUACAGCGAAAGCAUUUGCCAAGAAUGUCUUCAUUAAUCAAGAACGAAAGUCAGAGGUUCGAAGGCGAUCAGAUACCGCCCUAGUUCUGACCGUAAACGAUGCCAACUAGCGAUCCGCCGAUGGAAAUUAUAUUGCCUUGGUGGGAGCUUCCGGAAACGAAAGUCUUCCGGUUCCGGGGGAAGUAUGGUUGCAAAGCUGAAACUUAAAGGAAUUGACGGAAGGGCACCACCAGGAGUGGAGCCUGCGGCUUAAUUUGACUCAACACGGGGAAACUCACCCGGCCCGGACACUGUGAGGAUUGACAGAUUGAUAGCUUUUUCAUGAUUCAGUGGAUGGUGGUGCAUGGCCGUUCUUAGUUCGUGGAGUGAUUUGUCUGGUUUAUUCCGAUAACGAGCGAGACUCUAACCUACUAAAUAGCUGGUACAUAAUUUAAGUGUAUACAGCUUCUUAGAGGGAUUUGCGGUGUUCAGCCGAAAGAAAUUGAGCAAUAACAGGUCUGUGAUGCCCUUAGAUGUCCGGGGCUGCACGCGCGCUACACUGGCAAAAUCAACGUGCUUGUCCUACCCCGAAAGGGGCGGGUAAACCAUUGAAAAUUUGCCGUGAUUGGGAUCGGAAAUUGCAAUUAUUUUCCGUGAACGAGGAAUUCCAAGUAAGUGCGAGUCAUCAGCUCGCGUUGAUUACGUCCCUGCCCUUUGUACACACCGCCCGUCGCUGCCCGGGACUGAGCCAUUUCGAGAAAUUUGGGGACCGUUGAUUUAAUUUUUCUAAAUUUCUUUGAUGGAAACCAAUUUAAUCGCAGUGGCUUGAACCGGGCAAAAGUCGUAACAAGGUAGCUGUAGGUGAACCUGCUGCUG